GAAGGUAUAGCUCAAGUGGUAGAGCACAUGCUUAGCAUGCACAAGGUCCUGGGUGUUCAAUCCCCAGUACCUCCU
Molecule: transfer RNA, 75 nt
Filed under: Camelus bactrianus (Bactrian camel)
Lineage: Eukaryota; Metazoa; Chordata; Mammalia; Artiodactyla; Camelidae
Also listed under: 2 other names
Rfam family: tRNA
About the family: Transfer RNA (tRNA) molecules are approximately 80 nucleotides in length.
Source: Rfam by way of RNAcentral